RNAcentral lists this ribosomal RNA (253 nucleotides) under uncultured bacterium. Its description in RNAcentral is "partial 16S ribosomal RNA". It matches the Rfam family "Bacterial small subunit ribosomal RNA", at positions 524 to 776 of the family's 1533-position model. The record is from RNAcentral.
UACGUAGGGUGCGAGCGUUGUCCGGAAUUAUUGGGCGUAAAGAGCUCGUAGGCGGCUUGUUGCGUCUGCCGUGAAAACUCACAGCUCAACUGUGGGCGUGCGGGCGAUACGGGCAGACUGGAGUACUGCAGGGGAGACUGGAAUUCCUGGUGUAGCGGUGGAAUGCGCAGAUAUCAGGAGGAACACCGGUGGCGAAGGCGGGUCUCUGGGCAGUAACUGACGCUGAGGAGCGAAAGCGUGGGGAGCGAACAGG